This 403-nucleotide ribosomal RNA is filed under the name bacterium. Its description in RNAcentral is "partial 16S ribosomal RNA". It matches the Rfam family "Bacterial small subunit ribosomal RNA", at positions 355 to 776 of the family's 1533-position model. The record is from RNAcentral.
UGGGGAAUAUUGCACAAUGGAGGGAACUCUGAUGCAGCGACGCCGCGUGAACGAAGAAGGCUUUCAAGUCGUAAAGUUCUUUUAUAUGGGAAGAUAAUGACGGUACCAUAAGAAAAAGCCCCGGCUAACUACGUGCCAGCAGCCGCGGUAAUACGUAGGGGGCUAGCGUUGUCCGGAAUCACUGGGCGUAAAGGGUUCGCAGGCGGAAAUGCAAGUCAGGUGUAAAAGGCAGUAGCUUAACUACUGUAAGCAUUUGAAACUGCAUAUCUUGAGAAGAGUAGAGGUAAGUGGAAUUUUUAGUGUAGCGGUGAAAUGCGUAGAUAUUAAAAAGAAUACCGGUGGCGAAGGCGGCUUACUGGGCUCAUUCUGACGCUGAGGAACGAAAGCGUGGGUAGCAAACAGG